Molecule: ribosomal RNA, 460 nt
Filed under: uncultured bacterium
Lineage: Bacteria
Description: bacterial SSU rRNA
Rfam family: Bacterial small subunit ribosomal RNA
Source: RNAcentral
CCUANGGGAGGCUGCAGUGAGGAAUAUUGGUCAAUGGGUGAGAGCCUGAACCAGCCAUCCCGCGUGCAGGAAGAAGGCCCUAUGGGUUGUAAGCUGCUUUUGUGCAGGAAGAAUAGUAUCCUCGUGAGGGUAUUUGACGGUACUGCGUGAAUAAGCACCGGCUAACUCCGUGCCAGCAGCCGCGGUAAUACGGAGGGUGCAAGCGUUAUCCGGAUUUAUUGGGUUUAAAGGGUGCGUAGGCGGUAUUAUAAGUCAGUGGUGAAAUCCUGCAGCUUAACUGUAGCAUUGCCAUUGAAACUGUAGUACUUGAGUUAUCUUGAGGUAGGCGGAAUGUGUAGUGUAGCGGUGAAAUGCUUAGAUAUUACACAGAACACCGAUUGCGAAGGCAGCUUACUAAGGGUCGACUGACGCUGAGGCACGAAAGCGUGGGGAUCGAACAGGAUUAGAUACCCCGNUANUC